Molecule: ribosomal RNA, 158 nt
Filed under: Sebacina sp.
Lineage: Eukaryota; Fungi; Basidiomycota; Agaricomycetes; Sebacinales; Sebacinaceae
Description: partial large subunit ribosomal RNA
Source: RNAcentral
AAGCGUUUGAAGUCAGUCGCGUCUGUCGGGGUUCAGCCUGGCUUCUGCCUGGUGUAUUCCCCGUCCGACGGGUCAGCAUCAGUUUUGACCGAGAGAAAAAGGCUUGGGGAAUGUGGCCAUCUUCGGGUGGUGUUAUAGCCUCUUGUCAUAUGUCUCGG